Molecule: ribosomal RNA, 251 nt
Filed under: uncultured prokaryote
Description: partial 16S rRNA
Rfam family: Bacterial small subunit ribosomal RNA
Source: RNAcentral
ACGGAGGAUGCAAGCGUUAUCCGGAUUCAUUGGGUUUAAAGGGUGCGUAGGCGGCUUUUUAAGUCAGUGGUGAAAUCCUGUCGCUCAACGAUAGAAUUGCCAUUGAUACUGAAAAGCUUGAGUUCAGUUGAGGUAAGCGGAAUGUGUAGUGUAGCGGUGAAAUGAUUAGAUAUUGCAGCGAACACCGAAUGCGAAGGGGACUUAAUAGAAUGACACUCACGCUGAUGCAUGAGACCGUGGGGAUCGCACAG